Long non-coding RNA from Peromyscus eremicus (cactus mouse), 660 nucleotides. RefSeq lists it as uncharacterized. The record is from RefSeq and is a predicted model, not a curated record. The transcript has 2 exons. NCBI's taxonomy places the organism in Eukaryota, Metazoa, Chordata, Mammalia, Rodentia, Cricetidae.
CACUGAGGCGUACACAGCCCCGGGAGCUCCUGCUCCGCGCGACCGGCGGGGCUGGCAGCCGUAGAUCUCCACUGCACGUGCAGGCGCAGGUCAUCGCUGCAACUGUCGCCGGGCAGGAAGGUGGCACCCGUCCGGGUCAGCGCCGCGCUGCCCGUCCGCAGGAAGGGGGUGAAGAUACCCCCGUGACACAGCACAAGGCCUGGGCUGCGGCUCAGGAUCACCCCGCUGCAACUCCACGAGCCUGUGUCAGGCUGCCCGGCCCGCGAGGCGCUCACCACACAGCCCGCCUGCUCCGCCACCUUCAUGGAGGGACCCCACUGCCGUCCCAUGGUUUCCCCAAGACGUCGCACAACGGCUGUCACCUCUGGGCGACCGGCGCAAGCGCUGACUCAGGUGUUCCAUGAUGGCACCCGGCUUUCCCUGGCAAAUCCUGCCAGCCCAAGUCCCUGACACUGACCUGCACCAGCAGACAGGUAGUGUUACUUCCCACGAGUGGAGAAGAGCACAUGUCACCACUGGGCGAUGAACGUAGACAGAGAUGCAUGGCUUUUCAAUGCCAGACAUGGUUGGAGAGCUUUCCUUGUUCUAUUAGAAAAGUCCAUGAGGAAGCUGUGAAUAGGAUCAGUCCAGAAGUAAAACUCUUUAUUUUCACUGUCCAAA